AACGAACGCUGGCGGCGCGCCUAAUACAUGCAAGUCGAGCGAGAAGACGUAGCAAUACGUUUGUAAAGCGGCGAACGGGUGAGGAAUACAUGGGUAACCUACCCUCGAGUGGGGAAUAACUAGCCGAAAGGUUAGCUAAUACCGCGUACGCUCUUUGGACUUCGGUUCAGGGAGGAAAGCGAUACCGUGGGUAUCGCGCUCUUGGAUGGGCUCAUGUCCUAUCAGCUUGUUGGUGAGGAACGGCUCACCAAGGCUUCGACGGGUAGCUGGUCUGAGAGGACGAUCAGCCACACUGGCACUGCGACACGGGCCAGACUCCUACGGGAGGCAGCAGUAAGGAAUAUUGCGCAAUGGGCGAAAGCCUGACGCAGCGACGCCGCGUGGGGGAUGAAGGUC
RNAcentral lists this ribosomal RNA (396 nucleotides) under uncultured bacterium. Its description in RNAcentral is "bacterial SSU rRNA". It matches the Rfam family "Bacterial small subunit ribosomal RNA", at positions 29 to 416 of the family's 1533-position model. The record is from RNAcentral.